CGGGCGUGGUGACGUCAGGGCGGAAGCGCACGCUGCGUGAAGCGGCCAGAACCCGGCGGUCACGGGAAUAUCCGUCGCGCCGAGAACGCUGGUUAGUCUCACUCCGGGUUCCGGCUGCGUUGGGCGUGCGUGCAGCUCGCUGAGACUAUGGCGUCCGGGCCUCACCCGACCGCGGCCGCUGCCACCGCCGUCUCGUCUGCUGCCCCUAGCGCGGGCGGCUCAAGCUCCGGCACGACGACCACGACGACGACCACGACGGGAGGGAUCCUGAUCGGCGACCGUCUCUACUCGGAAGUUUCGCUCACCAUCGAUCACUCGCUGAUUCCGGAGGAGCGGCUCUCGCCCACUCCUUCCAUGCAGGACGGGCUCGACCUGCCCAGCGAGACGGACUUGCGCAUCCUGGGCUGCGAGCUCAUCCAGGCCGCCGGCAUUCUCCUCCGGCUUCCGCAGGUGGCGAUGGCAACGGGUCAGGUGUUGUUUCAUCGUUUUUUCUACUCCAAGUCUUUCGUCAAACACAGUUUCGAGAUUGUUGCCAUGGCAUGUAUUAAUCUUGCAUCAAAAAUCGAAGAAGCACCUAGAAGAAUAAGAGAUGUGAUUAAUGUAUUUCACCACCUCCGCCAGUUAAGAGGAAAAAGGACUCCAAGCCCCCUGAUCCUUGAUCAGAACUACAUUAACACCAAAAAUCAAGUUAUCAAGGCAGAGAGAAGGGUGCUAAAGGAAUUGGGAUUUUGUGUUCAUGUCAAGCAUCCCCAUAAGAUCAUUGUUAUGUAUUUACAAGUCUUAGAAUGUGAACGUAAUCAAACCCUGGUUCAAACUGCCUGGGUAGUCCAUGAUGGUAAGUCAUAGAACUCUGCCCUCUGCACUUCAGCCCAUGACCUCAGGAUGGCCUGAUUGGCUGCCCUGCUCUCCAGCCAAUCCAGUGCAAGCUCUCAUCCGAGAUUCACUGAAGUGGUCCAUAUCCAUCUGGCAGCAUCUUCUAGUUCUGUCGGGUUGUCAAAAAGGAUUUGUAUAUUUGUUUCUAGAAGUAACUAUUCAACAUGCCUAUGUAUUUAAUGUAUACCUGUAACUAUCAAAAUGAAUAGUUCAUUUUUGAUAGAUUUGUUGUCCAGCCAUUAUGACUUUUGUUAGGAGUUUGACUAGAUUUCUAUUUUUAGUAUGUAUAGCAUGAAUUCUACCAGUGGAAAGAGCAGCUUAAAAUGGGCACCAUCCCCAUUCUUGAUGAAUGUAUAGCUGCUGGGCUAUUGGAGGCAAUGGUAUUAGAAGUAAGAAGUACUGCAUUUUAAAGAGCUGUUAAUUUUAACAUAGAACUCUAAAACUUAGAUUUUAGAGAUGUGUGAUUUGUAGUGCUGACUUACUUAAAGUUAAAAUAAGGAGUUUGUGGUUCAGCCACAACUACUGUCUUAAGACUGUUGAUGUGCAGUACUUAAGUGAUGUAAUUCUUAUGUUCUGGACUUAACGACUGCCAUGCUGCUUUAUUAGUAAUAUUAGAAAAGUCUCAUUGCUUUUAUAAAAUGCAUGACUUUGAUAUAUGUUCUAUAGAUUUUUAGCAGUUUUCAUGGGUUACGGACUUUUAAGAAAACAGUCUUUUAGUUUAACCUUUUGAACAAUUUGUAAAAUUUAUUCAAUACUUCAGGAAUAUUGUGGGGAGGGUUCACUAUUAUAAAAGUCCAGUGAUUUAUUAACUGAAGUAGUUACUGCUUUUAUUUAUAUUUAGUCACACUUGUAUAUAAACAAGGCUGUUAUAUAUAUUACUUGCUCUUCACUUCCCAACCUAGGUUUUCUGAACUAGCUUAGUUUUCUUAAUUUGGUGCGUGCUUACUGAAAAUGCCUUUUUAUCCCUAUCACAGUAUUGAAUUUUUGAAAGAACUUGAUUGACACUGCUUUUCAUUGUGGAUAAAGGAGAGAGAUGGUCAAUAAUUAAUGGCUUGAAGUAUUGUUGGAGUGGUUUAUCAUUUCUGAAACUAAUCAUGUCAGAACUUUCAGAGCGUUGCUUUUCAUAGAAAUAUGUUUUUUUAAAAAACUGUUCUAUGUGGAGUAAUAGUAUGGAAUUAUUUUAAAGGACUUCUGUCCUAUAUAGGAGACAUGAAGAAUGAUUCUAGUGUUAAAUUCUUAUCUCUUACUGCUUUUGAGUUAAGAAUUGUUAUAUGCUAGAAUACUGAAAAUACAAACAUGAGAAGAAAAAAGAAUAAAGUAGAUUGAGUCUCCAAUUUUAUGUAAGGUUCAGAGGAACUGAUUUGUUUACAUACAAAGCUUAUGGUUGAAAUAUUUUUCAGGAAUUAUAUGAAUGACAGUCUUCGAACCAAUGUAUUUGUUCGAUUUCAACCAGAGACUAUUGCAUGUGCUUGCAUCUACCUUGCAGCUAGAGCUCUUCAGAUUCCAUUGCCAACUCGUCCCCAUUGGUUUCUUCUUUUUGGUACUACGGAAGAGGAGAUCCAA
RNA transcript from Bubalus bubalis (water buffalo), 2436 nucleotides. It is a transcript of the gene named cyclin L1, with no coding region annotated. The record is from RefSeq and is a predicted model, not a curated record. NCBI's taxonomy places the organism in Eukaryota, Metazoa, Chordata, Mammalia, Artiodactyla, Bovidae. The transcript has 7 exons.